This 505-nucleotide ribosomal RNA is filed under the name uncultured bacterium. Its description in RNAcentral is "partial 16S ribosomal RNA". It matches the Rfam family "Bacterial small subunit ribosomal RNA", at positions 28 to 507 of the family's 1533-position model. The record is from RNAcentral.
GACGAACGCUGGCGGCGUGCCUAAUACAUGCAAGUAGAACGCACAGUUUAUACCGUAGCUUGCUACACCAUAGACUGUGAGUUGCGAACGGGUGGGUAACGCGUAGGUAACCUGCCUGGUAGCGGGGGAUAACUAUUGGAAACGAUAGCUAAUACCGCAUAAUAUUAAUUAUUGCAUGCUAAUUAAUUGAAAGGUGCAAUUUCACCACUACCAGAUGGACCUGCGUUGUAUUAGCUAGUAGGUGAGGUAACGGCUCACCUAGGCGACGAUACAUAGCCGACCUGAGAGGGUGGUCGGCCAAACUGGGACUGAGACACGGCCCAGACUCCUACGGGAAGCAGCAGUAGGGAAUCUUCGGAAAUGGACGAAAGUCUGACCGAGCAACGCCGCGUGAGUGAAGAAGGUUUUCGGAUCGUAAAGCUCUGUUGUAAGAGAAGAACGGGUGUGAGAGUGGAAAGUGCACACUGUGACGGUAUCUUACCAGAAAGGGACGGCUAACUACGUG